UGCUUGGGUGGCUCAGUUGGUAGAGCACUUGCCCGCAAAAGGCAAAGGUCCCGAGUUCGAGUCUCGGUCCGGCAA
This 75-nucleotide transfer RNA is filed under the name Schistocerca americana (American grasshopper). Its description in RNAcentral is "tRNA-Leu". It matches the Rfam family "tRNA". From Rfam's summary of the family: Transfer RNA (tRNA) molecules are approximately 80 nucleotides in length. Their secondary structure includes four short double-helical elements and three loops (D, anti-codon, and T loops). Further hydrogen bonds mediate the characteristic L-shaped molecular structure. tRNAs have two regions of fundamental functional importance: the anti-codon, which is responsible for specific mRNA codon recognition, and the 3' end, to which the tRNAs corresponding amino acid is attached (by aminoacyl-tRNA synthetases). tRNAs cope with the degeneracy of the genetic code in two manners: having more than one tRNA (with a specific anti-codon) for a particular amino acid; and 'wobble' base-pairing, i.e. permitting non-standard base-pairing at the 3rd anti-codon position. The record is from RNAcentral. Lineage: Eukaryota; Metazoa; Arthropoda; Insecta; Orthoptera; Acrididae.